This 217-nucleotide long non-coding RNA is filed under the name Lathyrus oleraceus (garden pea). Its description in RNAcentral is "Pisum sativum (pea) long non-coding RNA (PSAT_LNC009120)". The record is from RNAcentral. Lineage: Eukaryota; Viridiplantae; Streptophyta; Magnoliopsida; Fabales; Fabaceae.
GUUGAGCAUGAAUGAUUGAGGGUGAGAGAGAGGGUUGAGGUUGAGGACGCGAUUGAGAGGGAGCGAUUGAGGGACGAAUAGAGGCGUGAGGUUGAGGACGAGCGAAUGAUGGAGAGAUUGAGAGAGCGUUGUGAGAUUGAGGAUGCGAUUGGGAGAUUGAGAGAGCAUUGUGAGAGCUAGUACGAUGAGGGAGUAACGAUGGAGAGUCUGUUGCUCC